RNAcentral lists this ribosomal RNA (194 nucleotides) under uncultured Enterobacterales bacterium. RNAcentral describes it as "partial 16S ribosomal RNA". It matches the Rfam family "Bacterial small subunit ribosomal RNA", at positions 138 to 334 of the family's 1533-position model. The record is from RNAcentral. Lineage: Bacteria; Pseudomonadati; Pseudomonadota; Gammaproteobacteria; Enterobacterales.
GGGGGAUAACUACUGGAAACGGUAGCUAAUACCGCAUAACGUCGCAAGACCAAAGAGGGGGACCUUCGGGCCUCUUGCCAUCGGAUGUGCCCAGAUGGGAUUAGCUAGUAGGUGGGGUAACGGCUCACCUAGGCGACGAUCCCUAGCUGGUCUGAGAGGAUGACCAGCCACACUGGAACUGAGACACGGUCCAG